Molecule: ribosomal RNA, 433 nt
Filed under: uncultured bacterium
Lineage: Bacteria
Description: partial 16S ribosomal RNA
Rfam family: Bacterial small subunit ribosomal RNA
Source: RNAcentral
AACGAACGCUGGCGGCAUGCCUAACACAUGCAAGUCGAACGAAGGCUUCGGCCUUAGUGGCGCACGGGUGCGUAACGCGUGGGAAUCUGCCCUUUGCUUCGGAAUAACAGUUAGAAAUGACUGCUAAUACCGGAUGAUGUCGCAAGACCAAAGAUUUAUCGGCAAAGGAUGAGCCCGCGUAGGAUUAGCUAGUUGGUGGGGUAAAGGCCUACCAAGGCGACGAUCCUUAGCUGGUCUGAGAGGAUGAUCAGCCACACUGGGACUGAGACACGGCCCAGACUCCUACGGGAGGCAGCAGUGGGGAAUAUUGGACAGUGGGCGAAAGCCUGAUCCAGCAAUGCCGGGUGAGUGAUGAAGGCCUUAGGGUUGUAAAGCUCUUUUACCCGGGAUGAUAAUGACAGUACCGGGAGAAUAAGCUCCGGCUAACUCCGUG